Molecule: long non-coding RNA, 842 nt
Organism: Gavialis gangeticus (Gharial)
Lineage: Eukaryota; Metazoa; Chordata; Crocodylia; Gavialidae
Exons: 2
Source: RefSeq, a predicted model, not a curated record
CUGAUCGGUGUUUUUGGCUUGCUGAAUGACUUAAUUGCUUCGUUCCCCUUGUACGUCAUGGUGUUCAUUAAUAAGAUAUGCAGUCUGGCUUGGUGGGUUAGUGUCUUGAAAAGAAUUAUACUGUAUGUUGUGAUAUCUGGCAAAACUUGGAAGAGAGGUUAAGAAAAUUCUGAAGUGUAAGACUUUACUGGGCAAAUGUAUAGAACAGAUCAUGCAACAUAAGAACACAAAUAUGUUGGGGGAUGGGAGGGAGGAAAAGACGCAUGUACUGUGAACAUAGGAUGGGGUAUUAAAAAGCGAACAGUCCAUGAAUAUGCUUGCCUGCUUUUUACUCAUUCUCUGACCACAUUUUCUAGAACUUCCUUAUAUCAUUCUUCUAUUUCUGCAUAUGGCCCUCAUUCUGGCAAGCGUCUUCUGGACUCCUGCUGAGGGCUGCCUCCAGUUGACUCGCGUGAAUGACCCAGGUCACUCAGAUGGAGGAGCCAGAUGCAAAUGGAUGUGAUGCUAGUCACCUUUGUAUUCUGCUGGCUCAGGCAGACCUUUAUCUUCAUACUCUUUUCUUGCCUGUCUCUCUCAUAUGGAAACCAAUGUAGUUCUUCAGAGUGACCAGUUCAAGUCAGACUUUCCUCCUUUUUAGUCACCUACCUGUCAAAAUAACUAGCCACACCCUGUUACUUGUCCUUUUCCUACUUCCAUCUUCCCCAGAAGAAAGAGACCACAUUUUUCACAUCUUACAUGCAACUCAGAGGCAACUGUAAUGGACCAGGGCAUAGGCUGCCUGGCCUAUUGGUCAGGUCAGUGGUUUUCAACCUGUUUUCAUUUGCAGACUCUUAAAAAAAAAA